This 826-nucleotide long non-coding RNA is filed under the name Daphnia magna. Its description in RNAcentral is "uncharacterized LOC116927681, transcript variant X1". Lineage: Eukaryota; Metazoa; Arthropoda; Branchiopoda; Diplostraca; Daphniidae. The record is from RNAcentral.
GGUGCCGUUUACCACGGCCGGGCGUCUGCUGUGUUUUUGGUGUGCUAGUGCAUUCUGCUACAUUUUGCUCUUGAGGAAAUAAUCUAGUUCUUUAAAUGUUUAUAUUGUUUUAUUCUCUUAGUUAAAACAAAUCGCCUUUUUGUUUGGUUCUAAAGACAAAGUUCAAUAUCGUAUACGUGUUAUCAAACAAACUCUUGCCCUAGUAAAGAAAUGUAAUAUAAGAGAUUUAAAGAAGUACGGACCAAAAAGCCACUUAAGUACUACGCUAUCAUCCUACCACACUACUAUGUAUGCUGCUCUGACCUACUUUAUUGAAGCCCUGAAGUACUUACUCAGCUCCAAGUUACCACACGGAUGCAACACUUUAUUGCACCACAACUUACACUACUUCAAGCUACCACAAGGAGGCCCCCCAAAUAUUACACAACAAAGGCACCAGAGUACUACACAACAGAUUAUGCUACGCAAAACCAAGCUACUAUAUUGAAGCUCUGAAGUACUACUAUUUACACUGCCCCAAGCUAUAUCAUCGCUACAGUUGCCUACUACACCACAACAGAAGCAACCAAAAUCGUACGGUGAAGUCCUAGGCAACACCAACAAAGGAUCCUCUUACUGGGUUUCCCCUGAAGGUCAGAUAUUCACUUUGACAUGGGCCGCUGAUGAAGCCGGUUUCCAGCUUAAAGGUGAUCACUUGCCCGUCGCUCCCGUCCACGAAUACGAGCUCCAGUUGCCCCUGUCCACAUUCCUUUCAACUGCAAAGGCUAUAAAAUUAAAAAAAUUGUUAAAACCCUGACUGAAUAAAUACAUGUUAAUAUGAAGCAGA